AGGCAGCAGGGGGAAGGACAAGGGGGAAACCCGACCAGCCACCGCGGAGGAAGAAGGCCCGGGGAAUGCCCAGGAGGGAAGAAACGGGCAGCAACACCGCGACAAGACGGACCCAGAAGAAGCACCGGCAACAC
Molecule: ribosomal RNA, 134 nt
Filed under: uncultured bacterium
Lineage: Bacteria
Description: partial 16S ribosomal RNA
Source: RNAcentral